This is a non-coding RNA of Paramisgurnus dabryanus, 293 nucleotides long. Lineage: Eukaryota; Metazoa; Chordata; Actinopteri; Cypriniformes; Cobitidae. The record is from RefSeq and is a predicted model, not a curated record.
GCUAACCAUCAAGAAAGAACACACUCCAGUGGGCAUCCUUUAUCCAUCCAGACCCUCAUACAGAUGGUUGGAGUUUUGAUUCACCUAAAGUACCAUGCAAGAGCACUCAUUUUCACUCUUGAGACCAUGGUGUGACCUGCAAGGUCGAAUGGAGACUGUAAACAAGACAAUCUUGGAGUCACCUGCCUUCACUGGUUCAGUUGUUAGUCCAAUUACAGAUGGAGAUUAUAGAAGAGGAUGAUGUCUUUUCUCCAACAUCUUUCUAGACUGAUAAAAGAUCUAGACAGGCUUGA